GAACGGGUCGAGUAACACGUGAGUAAUCUGCCCUUCACUUCGGGAUAACUACCGGAAACGGUGGCUAAUACCGGAUACGACACGGUUUCGCAUGGAAUUGUGUGGAAAGUUUUUCGGUGGGGGAUGUGCUCGCGGCCUAUCAGCUUGUUGGUGGGGUAAUGGCCUACCAAGGCUUCGACGGGUAGCCGGCCUGAGAGGGUGACCGGCCACACUGGGACUGAGACACGGCCCAGACUCCUACGGGAGGCAGCAGUGGGGAAUAUUGGACAAUGGGCGGAAGCCUGAUCCAGCAACGCCGCGUGAGGGAUGACGGCCUUCGGGUUGUAAACCUCUUUCACCUGUGACGAAGCGGAAGUGACGGUAGCAGGAGAAGAAGCACCGGCCAACUACGUGCCAGCAGCCGCGGUAAUACGUAGGGUGCGAGCGUUGUCCGGAAUUAUUGGGCGUAAAGGGCUCGUAGGCGGUUUGUCGCGUCGGGAGUGAAAACCAUGGGCUUAACUCAUGGCUUGCUUUCGAUACGGGCAGACUAGAGGUAUGCAGGGGAGAACGGAAUUCCUGGUGUAGCGGUGAAAUGCGCAGAUAUCAGGAGGAACACCGGUGGCGAAGGCGGUUCUCUGGGCAUUUACCUGACGCUGAGGAGCGAAAGUGUGGGGAGCGAACAGGAUUGGAU
RNAcentral lists this ribosomal RNA (670 nucleotides) under uncultured bacterium. Its description in RNAcentral is "bacterial SSU rRNA". It matches the Rfam family "Bacterial small subunit ribosomal RNA", at positions 100 to 783 of the family's 1533-position model. The record is from RNAcentral.